CCAUUAAGAGAAGGAGCAGGCGCGCAAUUACCCAAUCCUGACUCAGGGAGGUAGUGACAAGAAAUAACAAUAAACCGGCUUAUGCCGGUUUAAUUGGAAUGAGUACAAUUUAAACAUCUUAACGAGGAACAAUUGGAGGGCAAGUCUGGUGCCAGCAGCCGCGGUAAUUCCAGCUCCAAUAGCGUAUACUAAAGUUGUUGCAGUUAAAAAGCUCGUAGUUGGAUUUCUGUGGGGACGGAGCGGCCGGCCGCACAUCGCGGUUCGAGCUAGCGCUUUCCCUACAUCCUGCCGCGAACCGUGCUACCAUUAGUUUGGUGGCGCCGGGGAUCGGCUCGAUUACUUUGAGAAAAAUAGAGUGUUCAAAGCAGGCCACAUGCCUUGAAUAAGUUAGCAUGGAAUAAUAACUAGGGACUUCGGUUCUAUUUUGUUGGUGUUCGGGACUGAAGUAAUGAUUGAUAGGGACAGUUGGGGCGGUCUGUAUUCCAAAGCGAGAGGUGAAAUUCUUAGACCUUCGGAAGACAAACAGCUGCGAAAGCGUUCCGCAAGGAUGUUCCCUUUGAUCAAGAACGAAAGUUGGGGGAUCGAAGACGAUCAGAUACCGUCGUAGUCUCAACUAUAAACUAUACCAGCUAGGGAUCGGCCAACGUUAUUUUAUACCGACUUGGUCGGCACCUUAUGAGAAAUCAAAGCAUCUGGGUUCCGGGGGGAGUGUGGUCGCAAGGCUGAAACUUAAAGGAAUUGACGGAAGGGCACCACCAGCCGUGGAGCCUGUGGCUUAAUUUGACUCAACACGGGAAAACUUACCAGGUCCAGACAUAGUAAGGAUUGACAGAUUGAUAGCUCUUUCUUGAUUCUGUGGGUGGUGGUGCAUGGCCGUUCUUAGUUGGUGGAGUGAUUUGUCUGGUUAGUUCCGUUAACGAACGAGACCCCAGCCUGCUAAAUAGCGCGCGUGAGCUUUGCUCGCGGCGAGCUUCUUAGAGGGACUAUGAUGCGCGAUAGCACAUGGAAGUUUGGGGCAAUAACAGGUCUGUGAUGCCCUUAGAUGUUCUGGGCCGCACACGGGCUACACUGGCGCCUGCAACGAGCAUAUCAGCUGGCCCGAGAGGGUCUUGGCUAAUCUUUUGAACCGGCGCCGUGCUUGGGAUUGACCUUUGCAAUUGUUGGUCAUGCAACGAGGAAUGCCUUGUAAACGCGAGUCAUCAGCUCGCAUUGAAUACGUCCCUGCCCUUUGUACACACCGCCCGUCGCUCCUACCGAUGAAUGUUCCGAUGAAAUUUUCGGAGAGCACCUGUGAACUUGGCUCUGCCUUGCGAACGGGAGGCUCAAAGUCAC
This 1332-nucleotide ribosomal RNA is filed under the name uncultured marine eukaryote. RNAcentral's name for it is "SSU rRNA". It matches the Rfam family "Eukaryotic small subunit ribosomal RNA", at positions 410 to 1758 of the family's 1831-position model. The record is from RNAcentral.